AAAUGAACAUUUAUCAAAACUGAUGGUAUCAGGCUCGAAUUUUGGUUCCGACGCUCGGUACAAGUCUUAAAUGAGCGUUAAGCGCUAUUUGAAAAGUUUGGUUGAAACGGACGUCGUUUGACGUGUUUCGAACUAAAAUGGAAAUUUUGAAAUUUUGAACUUUGAAAUGAAAAUCAUGAGUUUUGGAGGUUGAUUCUUUAAAUUUGAUAUUAUUUUGGCGAUUUGAUUGCAUGAGUAAGUCUGUAGGAUGUUUUGAGGUUGAGUGCAUGUUUGGGUUGGAGCCCCGAGGGCUCGGGUGAGUUUUGGAUAGGUGUUGGGUACAUUUUGCAUGUUAGGAAUGGGUUUCAGGUGUUGCAGACCUGCAGGCUUCGCAAUUUCGCAAAUGCGAAUAGGGUCCGGGACUGUUGAGCUCGCAAAUGCGAAGGAAAACAUCGCAAAUGUGAUUCCUACUAUUCAAGCAGCUUUCGAAAAUGCGAAGGAUAUCUCGCAAAUGCAAAUUUCCCCGCCUAAGCCAUGGGUUCACAAAUGCGAACAUUAUCUAGCAAAUGCGAGUUCUGCCUUUCUUUUGUUGAGUCGCAAUUACGAAAAAAUCUUUGCAAUUGCAAUAUCUGCAGCUGUGCAUUCUAUACUUAGACGAUUUUAAACUUCAUUUUUCAUAUUUUCAAGACCCAAACCUC
RNAcentral lists this long non-coding RNA (677 nucleotides) under Nicotiana benthamiana. RNAcentral describes it as "long non-coding RNA (NBEN_LNC029313)". Lineage: Eukaryota; Viridiplantae; Streptophyta; Magnoliopsida; Solanales; Solanaceae. The record is from RNAcentral.